CUACCGGGGUAUCUAAUCCUGUUUGCUCCCCACGCUUUCGCGCCUCAGCGUCAGUUACAGACCAAAAAGCCGCCUUCGCCACUGGUGUUCCUCCACAUCUCUACGCAUUUCACCGCUACACGUGGAAUUCCGCUUUUCUCUUCUGCACUCAAGUUCCCCAGUUUCCAAUGACCCUCCACGGUUGAGCCGUGGGCUUUCACAUCAGACUUAAGAAACCGCCUGCGCGCGCUUUACGCCCAAUAAUUCCGGAUAACGCUUGCCACCUACGUAUUACCGCGGCUGCUGGCAC
RNAcentral lists this ribosomal RNA (289 nucleotides) under uncultured Bacillus sp. Its description in RNAcentral is "partial 16S ribosomal RNA". The record is from RNAcentral. Lineage: Bacteria; Bacillati; Bacillota; Bacilli; Caryophanales; Bacillaceae.